This 31-nucleotide non-coding RNA is filed under the name Mus musculus (house mouse). Lineage: Eukaryota; Metazoa; Chordata; Mammalia; Rodentia; Muridae. The record is from RNAcentral.
AAACNGGUGUUUCAAAUGUGACCUUGUGAAG